AACGAACGCUGGCGGCAUGCCUAACACAUGCAAGUCGAACGAGCUCUUCGGAGCUAGUGGCGCACGGGUGCGUAACGCGUGGGAAUCUACCCUUGGGUUCGGAAUAACACAGAGAAAUUUGUGCUAAUACCGGAUGAUGACUUCGGUCCAAAGAUUUAUCGCCCAGGGAUGAGCCCGCGUAGGAUUAGCUUGUUGGUGGGGUAAUGGCCCACCAAGGCGACGAUCCUUAGCUGGUCUGAGAGGAUGAUCAGCCACACUGGGACUGAGACACGGCCCAGACUCCUACGGGAGGCAGCAGUGGGGAAUAUUGGACAAUGGGCGAAAGCCUGAUCCAGCGAAUGCCGCGUGAGUGAUGAAGGCCCUAGGGUUGUAAAGCUCUUUUACCAGGGAUGAUAAUGACAGUACCUGGAGAAUAAGCUCCGGCUAACUCCGUGCCAGCAGCCGCGGUAAAGUAGACG
Molecule: ribosomal RNA, 458 nt
Filed under: uncultured bacterium
Lineage: Bacteria
Description: bacterial SSU rRNA
Rfam family: Bacterial small subunit ribosomal RNA
Source: RNAcentral